This 258-nucleotide ribosomal RNA is filed under the name Triticum aestivum (bread wheat). RNAcentral describes it as "partial small subunit ribosomal RNA". The record is from RNAcentral. Lineage: Eukaryota; Viridiplantae; Streptophyta; Magnoliopsida; Poales; Poaceae.
AUGGACCCAGUUGACGAGCUACUGGAGAAGUUGCAUCUGCAUGAAGAGGAGGAUGAAGGAUUUGUUUGGGAAGAUGUGGCUGAACCACCGCCCCGCGCAAAGUGGUUGGCAAUUGUGAAGGUACAUACCGUCAGAGGUUUUAGCCCUAGUGCUCUUUACGCAGAUAUGCGAUCUGCUUGGGAUCCGGCCAAGGAGGUGAUCUGGAGGCGGGUGGAUGACAACCUGUUCACCGCGCAAUUUGGAUGCCUGGGUGAUUGG